GGGUAUCAAAGGACUCAUUCAAUAUUUGAAUGAUCUCCUCUAGUUGCGCAUCCUCAAACUAAUGGCUAAGUUCGUCGUUCAUAGCUGCCCUCAUCACGCAAUGCAUAGUCGUGCGAUCAUUAAGCCACUUCACGUAAGUGUCUCUCGUGGCACAAGGAGCAUUGGCUGUAGGUUCUUCAGGUACCUCAUCUGUAAGGACAUAAUCGUGCUCUAACAUAAUCUUCAACUUUCGAUACUAGCUAUCGAAGUUGG
RNAcentral lists this long non-coding RNA (252 nucleotides) under Elaeis guineensis (African oil palm). RNAcentral describes it as "long non-coding RNA (EGUI_LNC061724)". Lineage: Eukaryota; Viridiplantae; Streptophyta; Magnoliopsida; Arecales; Arecaceae. The record is from RNAcentral.